UCCCUGGAGGACUAGUGGUUAAGCCACAGCGCUCCCACCUCUGUGGCCUGGGUUCGUUUCCUGGCCAGGGAA
RNAcentral lists this transfer RNA (72 nucleotides) under Pangasianodon hypophthalmus (striped catfish). It matches the Rfam family "tRNA". Rfam says of the family: Transfer RNA (tRNA) molecules are approximately 80 nucleotides in length. Lineage: Eukaryota; Metazoa; Chordata; Actinopteri; Siluriformes; Pangasiidae. The record is from Rfam by way of RNAcentral.